AGCCAUGCAUGUUUCCGCAAUCAGGGACGAAUAGCUCAGUAAAACUGCGAUGAUUUAGUCUGGCUGUGUAGAUAACUACGUGAAAAUGUAGCUAAGGGAAGGCAGAAUAAGACGCAGGACUAUCAGUUAGUUGGUAGUGUAAUGGACUACCAAGACAGUGACGGUUGACGGGAAAUUAGGGUUUUGUACCGGAGAGGGAGCCUGAGAGAUUGCUCCCACGUCCAAGGACGGCAGCAGGCGCGAAAAUUGCCCACUCUUUGCAGGAGGCAGUUAUGAGACGUGAAGAUGAGUAUCUUGUAAAGAGGGAUAGGAGAAUUGGAGGGCAAGUUUGGUGCCAGCAGCCGCGGUAAUACCGACUCCAAGAGUGUGUAUGAGAGAUGCUGCAGUUAAAAAGUCCGUAGUCAUAGAAGGGCAAAGAGAGAUGCGAGGUCUCACAGUGCGAUGAUGGAGGAGCCGAUGGGGAACAUAGUAUACCAGGGCGAGAGAUGAAAUGCCAAGACCCCUGGUGGACUGAGCGAGGCGAAGGCGAUGUUCUU
This 536-nucleotide ribosomal RNA is filed under the name Vittaforma corneae. RNAcentral's name for it is "SSU rRNA". It matches the Rfam family "Microsporidia small subunit ribosomal RNA", at positions 46 to 614 of the family's 1311-position model. The record is from RNAcentral. Lineage: Eukaryota; Fungi; Microsporidia; Nosematidae.